GAUGAAGAACGCAGCAAAAUGCGAUACUUGGUGUGAAUUGCAGAAUCCCGUGAACCAUCGAGUUUUUGAACGCAAGUUGUGCCCGAAGCCUUUUGGCCGAGGGCACGUCUGCCUGGGCGUCACGCAUCGCGUCGCCCCCCACAAUUCUCCGUAAAGGGAACGUGUGUUUUGGGGGCGGAUAUUGGUCUCCCGUGCUCAUGGCGUGGUUGGCCGAAAUAGGAGUCCUUUCGAUGGACGCACGAACUAGUGGUGGUCGUAAAAACCCUCGUCUUUUGUUUCGUGCUGUUGCUCGCAAGGUAAACUCUUUAAAAACCCCAAUGUGUCGUCUCUUGACGACGCUUCGACCGCGACCCCAGGUCAGGCGGGACUACCCGCUGAGUUUAAGCAUAUCAAUAAGCGGAGGA
Molecule: unclassified non-coding RNA, 404 nt
Filed under: soil metagenome
Description: partial contains 5.8S ribosomal RNA, internal transcribed spacer 2, and large subunit ribosomal RNA
Rfam family: 5.8S ribosomal RNA (bases 1-122)
Source: RNAcentral